This 252-nucleotide ribosomal RNA is filed under the name uncultured bacterium. Its description in RNAcentral is "partial 16S ribosomal RNA". It matches the Rfam family "Bacterial small subunit ribosomal RNA", at positions 524 to 776 of the family's 1533-position model. The record is from RNAcentral.
UACGUAGGGUGCAAGCGUUGUCCGGAAUCAUUGGGCGUAAAGAGCGUGUAGGCGGCUCGAUUAGUCCGCUGUAAAGUCCAGGGCUCAACCCUGGGAUGCCGGUGGAAACUGUCGGGCUAGAGUCCGGGAGAGGCGAGUGGAGUUCCUGGUGUAGCGGUGAAAUGCGCAGAUAUCAGGAGGAACACCGGUGGUGAAGGCGGGUCUCUGGGCCGUAACUGACGCUGAGGAGCGAAAGCAUGGGGAGCGAACAGG